AUUGAACGCUGGCGGCAUGCCUUACACAUGCAAGUCGAACGGCAGCACGGGAGCAAUCCUGGUGGCGAGUGGCGAACGGGUGAGUAAUAUAUCGGAACGUGCCCAGUCGUGGGGAUAACGUAGCGAAAGCUACGCUAAUACCGCAUACGAUCUAUGGAUGAAAGCGGGGGAUCGCAAGACCUCGCGCGAUUGGANCGGCCGAUAUCAGAUUAGGUAGUUGGUGAGGUAAAGGCUCGCCAAGCCGACGAUCUGUAGCUGGUCUGAGAGGACGACCAGCCACACUGGGACUGAGACACGGCCCAGACUCCUACGGGAGGCAGCAGUGGGGAAUUUUUGGACAAAUGGGCGCAAGCCUGAUCCAGCAAUGCCGCGUGCAGGAUGAAGGCCUUGGUGUAACUAGCUUUGUACGG
Molecule: ribosomal RNA, 410 nt
Filed under: uncultured bacterium
Lineage: Bacteria
Description: bacterial SSU rRNA
Rfam family: Bacterial small subunit ribosomal RNA
Source: RNAcentral